UGGGGAAUAUUGGACAAUGGGCGCAAGCCUGAUCCAGCCAUGCCGCGUGAGUGAUGAAGGCCUUAGGGUCGUAAAGCUCUUUCGCUUGGGACAAGAGAAGCUGGCUAAUAUCCGGCAAAUUUGAGGGUACCAGGUAAAGAAGCACCGGCUAACUCC
RNAcentral lists this ribosomal RNA (156 nucleotides) under uncultured bacterium. RNAcentral's name for it is "partial 16S ribosomal RNA". It matches the Rfam family "Bacterial small subunit ribosomal RNA", at positions 355 to 504 of the family's 1533-position model. The record is from RNAcentral.